ACCCUCCAGUUUUCUUACCUAUCAGAUAUAAUAACUGGUCUGAGUGGUUAUAAAGGGGGCGUGGGGGGAAGCAAAAUUGAAACUGAUUUCAGUGCUUUUGUGGCACAUGAUCUAGUUUCAAACAACU
Molecule: small nucleolar RNA, 127 nt
Filed under: Echinops telfairi (small Madagascar hedgehog)
Lineage: Eukaryota; Metazoa; Chordata; Mammalia; Afrosoricida; Tenrecidae
Description: Small nucleolar RNA SNORA61 (ENSETEG00000026029.1)
Source: RNAcentral